This is a small nucleolar RNA of Hyla sarda, 305 nucleotides long. The record is from RefSeq and is a predicted model, not a curated record. Lineage: Eukaryota; Metazoa; Chordata; Amphibia; Anura; Hylidae.
GCCAUAUGAUGAGCUAAUGGCAAAUGUGACUCCAUCCUCUGGGUAUGUCCUCUUCUUGUGGCCCUCGGUCUGUAAUCUUGGUGGCUGUGUAGGAAUAUCUCACUGUCGCUGUAAGGCCAGACCAACAGCAGCUUUUAUUGCUGGUCCUCCUUAACCUGUAAUCAUAAACAGCCCAUCAGAGCAAUGAGGGUGCUGUUUGUGAGGAGACCUACAAGUGACUGACCUUAAGGGGGCAGGGCAGAGGCCAUCACUAGUGAAAAAGAGGUGGGGAGAAAUGAUCAUUAAUCUUUGGUAAUCUGAUGGCA